ACCUAAUGAUAUGGGCAUUUACGGAGCAGGUCCUGAAAGCGCUCCCAAGUAUCAAAGAAAACUUCCCCAUCUAUUUGUGCAAAACUUAUUAUUUCCCUUUGCAGCU
Molecule: small nucleolar RNA, 106 nt
Organism: Malania oleifera
Lineage: Eukaryota; Viridiplantae; Streptophyta; Magnoliopsida; Santalales; Ximeniaceae
Source: RefSeq, a predicted model, not a curated record